This 498-nucleotide ribosomal RNA is filed under the name uncultured archaeon. RNAcentral describes it as "bacterial SSU rRNA". It matches the Rfam family "Archaeal small subunit ribosomal RNA", at positions 326 to 824 of the family's 1478-position model. The record is from RNAcentral.
CGGGGUGCAGCAGGCGCGAAAACUUUACAAUGCCGGCAACGGCGAUAAGGGGACCUCGAGUGCCAGGUUACAAAUCUGGCUGUCGUGAUGCCUAAAAAGCAUUGCAUAGCAAGGGCCGGGCAAGACCGGUGCCAGCCGCCGCGGUAACACCGGCGGCUCGAGUGGUAACCGUUAUUAUUGGGUCUAAAGGGUCUGUAGCCGGCCGGAUAAGUCUCUUGAGAAAUCCAGCAGCUCAACUGUUGGGCUUUCAGGAGAUACUGUUCGGCUCGAGGCCGGGAGAGGUGAGAGGUACUUCAGGGGUAGGGGUGAAAUCUUGUAAUCCUUGAAGGACCACCAGUGGCGAAGGCGUCUCACCAGAACGGACCUGACGGCAAGGGACGAAAGCUAGGGGCACGAACCGGAUUAGAUACCCGGGUAGUCCUAGCCGUAAACGAUACUCGCUAGGUGUCGGCCACGGUGCGACCGUUGUCGGUGCCGUAGGGAAGCCGUGAAGCGAGC